AACAUGUCUAUAUGAAAUUAAUAUAAAGUCUAGCCUGCCCACUGAAUUUUUGAAGGGCUGCGGUAAAUUGACCGUGCAAAGGUAGCAUAAUCAGUAGUCUUUUAAUUGAAGGCUUGUAUGAACGGCUGGAUGAGAGAGAAGCUGUCUCUUUUUCAAUUUAAAAGUUGACUUUUGAGUGAAAAGGCUUAAAUUAAAUAAAGGGACGAUAAGACCCUAUAAAACUUUAUAUGAAUUAUUCUUUAUCUUAAAAUUAUAUUUAAAAUCCGAAAAGUUUUAUUCAUAUUUUGUUGGGGAGACAUUGAUAUAAAUGUAACUGUCUAAAAAAAAAUAUAGUUAUCAUUAUAGUUUGAUCCUUCUUUGUGGAUAAAAAGAAUAAGUUACUUUAGGGAUAACAGCGUUAUUCUUUCUGAGAGUCCUUAUCGAAGAAAGUAGUUGCGACCUCGAUGUUGAAUUAAAAUUCCGGGUAGGUGUAGCCGUUUACCAAAUAGGUCUGUUCGACCUUUGAAAUUUUACAUGAUUUGAGUUCAAGCCGGUGUAAGCCA
Molecule: ribosomal RNA, 542 nt
Filed under: Palaemon affinis
Lineage: Eukaryota; Metazoa; Arthropoda; Malacostraca; Decapoda; Palaemonidae
Description: partial 16S ribosomal RNA
Rfam family: Bacterial large subunit ribosomal RNA
Source: RNAcentral